UUAGACACCUCAACUAAGACUUG
This 23-nucleotide microRNA is filed under the name Solanum tuberosum (potato). RNAcentral describes it as "stu-miR8031". Lineage: Eukaryota; Viridiplantae; Streptophyta; Magnoliopsida; Solanales; Solanaceae. The record is from miRBase by way of RNAcentral.